Long non-coding RNA from Panicum hallii, 225 nucleotides. RefSeq lists it as uncharacterized. The transcript is spliced from 3 exons. Lineage: Eukaryota; Viridiplantae; Streptophyta; Magnoliopsida; Poales; Poaceae. The record is from RefSeq and is a predicted model, not a curated record.
CUGAUCACUAUAGGAGGCUGGAGUCACAAGACUAGCUUCUACUGAUGAGGCAAGCGCCGCCUAUGAGAAAAGGUGUGAAGAACUAAAUAGCAAAAAACUGGAAGAAGAGGAGCUCAACAAGGAACUUGACCUCCUAAAGGAAUCAUUUACCAUACUAUAAACUGAGGAAGAGCGAAGAUUGUAUGAUUGGAGCAUGUCCAGAAGUGGGCAACCUGAGCGAAGAUC